UCCGGCUUAUCACCGGCGGUCCCACUAGAGUGCCCAACUAAAUGAUGGCAACUAAUGGCGAGGGUUGCGCUCGUUGCGGGACUUAACCCAACAUCUCACGACACGAGCUGACGACAGCCAUGCAGCACCUGUGUUCCGGCCCAUUGCUGGGAGGACCCUCUUUCAAAGGCCGUUCCGGACAUGUCAAGGCUUGGUAAGGUUCUUCGCGUUGCGUCGAAUUAAACCACAUGCUCCACCGCUUGUGCGGGCCCCCGUCAAUUCCUUUGAGUUUCAAUCUUGCGAUCGUACUUCCCAGGUGGGAUACUUAAUGCUUUCGCUCAGACACUAACUGUGUAUCGCUAAUGUCGAGUAUCCAUCGUUUAGGGCGUGGACUAC
RNAcentral lists this unclassified non-coding RNA (375 nucleotides) under uncultured bacterium. RNAcentral describes it as "contains 16S-23S intergenic spacer region". The record is from RNAcentral.